RNAcentral lists this ribosomal RNA (306 nucleotides) under Triticum aestivum (bread wheat). Its description in RNAcentral is "partial small subunit ribosomal RNA". Lineage: Eukaryota; Viridiplantae; Streptophyta; Magnoliopsida; Poales; Poaceae. The record is from RNAcentral.
AUGGGUCUCGCUGCGUCAUUACUGAGGGAAAAACACAAUGGUGUUUUGAUAUCUGUAGUUCAACUCUUCACGGAAUUGUGUAAAGCCAACAAAGAUGCAAUGGAGUACCUGAGGAAGAACUGCAUCAAAGGUCUGGUCCGAAUACUUAGAGAUCUCUUCAAUAGUUCAUAUGCUCCCGAGAAUGAUGUUGCUGGCAUUUUAGAUCCUUUCUUGCAUAUUUUAGUUCUUAAACUUAAAAGGCAAAAUUUCAGGCCGCAAACAAAGAAAGCUACAGCAAAUAAAUUCAGCCCAGGGUCACCUGAUUAA